UACUACACUAUUUUAUUAAUAGCAUUCCCAAAUUAAUCAACUUAUGCGGAAGGUAACAUUUUAAUAGCACUACAAUUUUUCAU
Molecule: long non-coding RNA, 83 nt
Organism: Ipomoea nil (Japanese morning glory)
Lineage: Eukaryota; Viridiplantae; Streptophyta; Magnoliopsida; Solanales; Convolvulaceae
Exons: 3
Source: RefSeq, a predicted model, not a curated record